Molecule: ribosomal RNA, 652 nt
Filed under: uncultured Bacteroidales bacterium
Lineage: Bacteria; Pseudomonadati; Bacteroidota; Bacteroidia; Bacteroidales
Description: bacterial SSU rRNA
Rfam family: Bacterial small subunit ribosomal RNA
Source: RNAcentral
UGAUUGAAGCUUGCUUCAAUUGAUGGCGACCGGCGCACGGGUGAGUAACGCGUAUCCCAUUUUCCGUACACUCAGGGAUAGCCUUUCGAAAGAAAGAUUAAUACCCGAUGGUAUCUUAAGCACGCAUGAGAUUAAGAUUAAAGAUUUAUCGGUAAGCGAUGGGGAUGCGUUCCAUUAGGCAGUUGGCGGGGUAACGGCCCACCAAACCUACGAUGGAUAGGGGUUCUGAGAGGAAGGUCCCCCACAUUGGAACUGAGACACGGUCCAAACUCCUACGGGAGGCAGCAGUGAGGAAUAUUGGUCAAUGGGCGAGAGCCUGAACCAGCCAAGUAGCGUGAAGGAUGACGGCCCUACGGGUUGUAAACUUCUUUUGUGCGGGAAUAAAGGAACCUACGUGUAGGUUUUUGCAUGUACCGUAACGAAUAAGCAUCGGCUAACUCCGUGCCAGCAGCCGCGGUAAUACGGAGGAUGCGAGCGUUAUCCGGAUUUAUUGGGUUUAAAGGGAGCGUAGACGGGUUUUUAAGUCAGCUGUGAAAGUUUGGGGCUCAACCUUAAAAUUGCAGUUGAAACUGGAGACCUUGAGUACGGUUGAGGCAGGCGGAAUUCGUGGUGUAGCGGUGAAAUGCUUAGAUAUCACGAAGAACUCCGAUUG